Molecule: ribosomal RNA, 497 nt
Filed under: uncultured bacterium
Lineage: Bacteria
Description: partial 16S ribosomal RNA
Rfam family: Bacterial small subunit ribosomal RNA
Source: RNAcentral
GAUGAACGCUGGCGGCGUGCCUAAUACAUGCAAGUCGAACGAGCAGACGAGGACCUUCCUCCUCUGACGUUAGCGGCGGACGGGAGAGUAACACGUGGAUCACCUCCCUAUAAGACUGGGAUAACUUCGGGAAACCGGCUCAGAUCCCGGAUACUCUCUUCACCCGCAUGGUUCAGUGGUAAAAGACGGAUUUGCUUUCACUUAUCGAUGGAUCCGCGCAGCAUUAGUUAGUUGGUACGGUACCGGCUUACCAUGGCAACGAUGCGUAGCCGACCGGAGAGGGAGGACGGCCACACGGGAACUGAGACAGGGCGGAGACUUUGACGGUAGGCAGCAGUAGGGAAUCUUCCGCGAGGGGCGAAUGCCGGACAGUGCAAAGCCGGGGGAGUGAUGAUGGUGCGAGGACGGGAAAAGGAUGUAAGUAGGGAAGAUGAAAUGUGCAGUUAAUGAGGAAGGUCUUGACGGUACCUAAUCAGAAAGUCACGGCUAACUACGUG